AUAUUUUGCAAUAAUCUUCAACCAAUGUUCAAACUUGAUUCUUGUAACACUGUUAGGCCGGAUGCCCUUGAUGUUUAUGAAAUAGAAAAUGCCAAGUUAUAUCAAUUUUUGGAUGAACUCUCUUCUAAGAUCACCUUGACACUGAUAUAUGGACUUCAGACCAUCAGAAUUUUACCUAUAAAUGUUUGACUGCCCAUUAUGUGACUAAUGAUUGGGAGUUAACGAAGAAAUUCCUUGCUUAUAGACGCAUUGAUUACCUGCAUGAUGGAGACCAUUUGUUUAGCUUUAUCAAAGAUCUAAUUUUAGAGUGGAACAUAGAUAAGAAGUUGUUUUCAAUGGUAGUCGAUAAUGCAACGAGUAAUGAUGUCAUGGUGACACUCUUAAAGUGAUGGCUACAUGACCAAGGGUUAUUACAUUUGGGUGGACAAUUGUUUCAUGUGCGUUGUAGUGCGCACAUAUUGAAUUUAGUUGUUCAGGGUGAUUGGGGAGUCUUAUUUCAAAAAUUCGAGAAAGUGUGAGAUAUUUAGAGAGGUCUCCUUAUGGAAAACAAAAAUUUGAUGUUGCAGUGAAUCAUGUUAAGUUACAUCAUAAAAAGAAAAUCCCCAUAGAUGCUCCUACUAGAUGGAACUCCACUUAUUCAAUGCUUGAACCUGCAUUAGAUUUGAAAAGUGCAUUCCGCGGCUUAGGGCAAAUUGACAAACAAUAUAAGCACAAUCCUUCUGAGGAUGAGUGGCAUGUAGCAAAUGUGAUUUGUGGGUGCGUGGAGAUUUUUUUUGAUGCUACAUCUCACUUUAGUGGUACCACUUUUCCUACUUCAAAUGUGUUUUUUCCCGAUAUUUGUCUUAUUCAACUUGAAAUGAAAAAAUGGGGGCAAAGUGAAUGUGAUUGCAUUCGAUUGAUGGCUGGUCCAAUGAGAGUGAGAAUUCAAAAAUAUUGGGAAGAAUGUUCUUUGGUGUUAGCAAUUGCAGUGGUUCUCGAUCCGAGAUUUAAAAUGGACUUGGUGGAAUACUACUUUAGGCUUAUUUAUGGUGUUGAUGCUAAUAAGCAUAAUCAAAGGGUCCAUAAUGGUUUUGUUGAUCUUUUUUUUAUGAGUAUAGGAGUGAUUCUUCUGAUUCUAUGAGUUGCAUUGCACUUGUUUUUGAAAAUAGUAGCUCAAAUGGUAGUCAAUUGCUUGUCAGUUCUUCGAAACAAGAAAGUUUGGCUGCUUUUCAUACGUGGUAUGCCCAAGAACGUGCUUCUAACAUUCAUGCCUAUCAAAAAUUAGAGGUGGAGCAAUACUUGGACGAGUUGGUGUUUCCAAGUAAUGAGAGUUUCAAUAUUCUACAUUGGUGGAAAGUGAAUAAAGCAAAAUUUCCUACUUUGGCAAGGAUGGAUCAUGAUGUUUUAAGUGUUCUAGCUACUACGGUUGCAUCAGAGGCAGUGUUUAGUGUAGGAGGUAGGGCGAUUGAUGAGACACUUUCUUCAUUACUUCCAGAUAUUGUGGAGGCCUUGAUCACUUGCAAUGAUUGGAUUGAAUCAACCAAAAAUAGAAAUGUAGAAGAAUGAUGACAUGAGUAGAUGGAUUGUUUCUGUGUUGGUUUUGAUGCCUUGGUGAACUUUGUUUCUGCUUUAUAUCACUUGGUUUGUCAUUUAUUCAUCGUAUUAUGACAUAAUUUGAUAAUCUGUUUGCAUAUUAAGGUAGUAACUUUCUUGAUUUGCAGGUUUGAUAAUGAGCUUAACAAAAUGGUUGCUAUCAAAGUUAUUGACUUGGAAGAAUCGUUGGGGCUAGCUUUAUGGAUGCUUGCAUCUUUGGAAUGAUUAAGGGUUCAGUUUUUUUGUUUUAGCUUUAGGCCAGCUUAGGGAGGUUCUGUCCAUUUGUGUUCCUAUUAAUGUUGUUUUCAUCCAUACUUUCUUUUUUGUUUUAGGUCUUUUUAGCUCUACUCAGAUGAGGGGUUGAUUUGUUUGCUUUUUGUAUUUAUCUCC
Camellia sinensis is the source of this 1962-nucleotide RNA transcript. It is a transcript of the gene named zinc finger BED domain-containing protein DAYSLEEPER-like, with no coding region annotated. NCBI's taxonomy places the organism in Eukaryota, Viridiplantae, Streptophyta, Magnoliopsida, Ericales, Theaceae. The record is from RefSeq and is a predicted model, not a curated record.